Long non-coding RNA from Pistacia vera, 276 nucleotides. RefSeq lists it as uncharacterized. The transcript has 3 exons. The record is from RefSeq and is a predicted model, not a curated record. NCBI's taxonomy places the organism in Eukaryota, Viridiplantae, Streptophyta, Magnoliopsida, Sapindales, Anacardiaceae.
UGAUCUGGAGAAGAUUUUGUGUUCUCUGGUGGUGGAGACCAAUUUGCAGGCUCAAAAGUUUCUUCUUUGCCUUCUCUUGCUGAUUGGAUCUCAGUGUGAUGGUACAAAUGAGUUUUCAAGCUUCCCAGGAAUUGAUCAUAGAUUUCCAUUUGCCAAACUGACUAAAGUGCAAAAGCCUGAGUCAGAAGCCGAAGAUGCCGGUGAAGCUGAUGAAACUGAAAGUGAUGACAAUGACGAUGGUGAGGAGGAGGAAGAUGACUCUGGAGAAGAAGAAAG